UAUAUGCCGCAGAUGACUGUUGUCCAUUAUAUCCACGAUCCAGUUGCAUAUGCAAAUUAUCUCCGACAAUACAAUGACCUAUAUCGGGAAUAUAUGACUUUCUCACAAUACCAGCAAUACUUAUAUCAACAUUGUCAUAUAAAUCUUGUAUCUGCAACUGACAGUAUGCCAUAUGAUCAAGCGCGACAAUCUAUGUGGAAUUAAGCAGUCAUCUCUAUGUAAAGAUGUAAAUUUAAAUAAUUAUUAUACUUGUGAAUUUUAUUAUUGUAUUUUAAUUUUUAUUCUACAUCAGGUAUAAUUGUAUUUUACUUACAAAAAGCUUACAUGCAUGUUAAUUAAUGAGUAUAAUAAGGUAUAUAUAGCAAAUAUAAAUAAUUAUUUAUUUAAAUCUUUCAAAAUAACAUUAUAAGAGUUUAUUGGAAUCAAAAAAACUGAAAAAAAAUCCGUGCCAAAGCGUGGCAGUAGGAGGUCGUGCAUAUCUGUCGGCACGCAAGCGGACCACGUGUCGGCACGCAAGCGGGGCCGUGCCGUACCGUGCCAGGGCCGUGCCGCCACGCCCCUGUGCCACGGCACUUUAAACCUUGGCUUACAUGCAUGUUAAUUAAUGAAUAUAAUAAGCUAUACAUAGCAAAAAUUAAUAAUAAUUUGUCUAAAUCUUUCAAAAUAACAUUAUAAAAGCCUGUUGGAACCAAAAAAACUUAAAUAAAUCUGUACCAAAGCGUGCCAGUAGGAGGUCGUGCGUAUCUGUCGGCACGCAAGCGUGCCACGUGUCGGCACGCAAGCGUGCCCAUGCCGUACCGUGCCAAGGACGUAACGG
RNAcentral lists this long non-coding RNA (817 nucleotides) under Ananas comosus (pineapple). RNAcentral's name for it is "long non-coding RNA (ACOM_LNC015124)". The record is from RNAcentral. Lineage: Eukaryota; Viridiplantae; Streptophyta; Magnoliopsida; Poales; Bromeliaceae.